This is a long non-coding RNA of Xiphophorus hellerii (green swordtail), 4954 nucleotides long. RefSeq lists it as uncharacterized. NCBI's taxonomy places the organism in Eukaryota, Metazoa, Chordata, Actinopteri, Cyprinodontiformes, Poeciliidae. The transcript has 2 exons. The record is from RefSeq and is a predicted model, not a curated record.
UCAGUGUGCAUUGUAAGGUUUUUGCUAAUGAGAUGAAAGAAAUUUCAUGGUCAUGUUGAUUACGCUGAAAUUGUCAGUCUGGAUUUCAGCUGAAGAACAGUCUGUUUGAUUACAAAGUCAAUCAAUCACACCCACUGAUACAGAGUCUAAAUUAUCGCGGAAUGACAGGGCAGCCCACAGUGUGUGUUUAGGGCUGCCUUUUGUACUACUUGUGUUAGCACUAAUCACAGUUCUGUUUAGACUCCUCCACACUUUCAUGUGUAUGUUAAUUUGAAGUUGGAGGAGGGGACUGUUUUUGAACAGUGGAUCAUCAGGGACUCAUGGGACACGUACUGGGGAUAGAUGUUUUUAGAAACAUGCUGGUAGGCUGUUAUAAUUUUGUAGGAUAAUGGGGUUGUGCAGUCAAAUUGUCUAAAUCCCCUUCGGGGUGUUGUUCUGACUAGCAGCCUGUAGGUACAUGCAUCAGGCCACCUAGCUUUUGUUCUUCCUGCAGAGGAUGCACCAAUGUCAGAGGGUGUGUCACACUAGAUAAUUGCAAAGCAGACAAUCAGCAACGAGAACUCCCCACGGAUUUUCUUAAAAACUUUUUCAUCCCCUCCAGUGCUUAUUAAAACUCGGGGUUGUUUUGUAACUGCUUUUACCAUAGCAGAGCAGAAUGCAGGUGUGAAUAUUUUUAUUGACAAGUAAAUCUGAUGUGAUCUAGAUGCAAAUAAGAGGAAAGAAACAAACACAAACACUGACUUUUUUACCUACCAAAUCUGGUAAAACUGCUAAUAUAUUUCAAACAGAGACAUGGAAAGUGUAAAUCUGUGUGACAGUUUACACUUAGUAUGCUCCCGUUUGUACACAUACACACUUUUGUGAUCGUGUGUACGUAAUGACCGUGGGUUGUACAGUGCUGUCAGAUGGGCCUAUAAAGGUAAGUGAUGCAGGCUGCCUGAGCCUCCUUCCCUAUGAUGAAUGUUGACAGGGAGCAGAGGCUGAAAUGGUGAACAUCAUCGCCUCACAGCUGCGCUCACACACAUCUCUCAAUGAGAGGCAAAUAAGUAAGGCAGCAUAAUGCUGACAGUGAAUGAAUGCUCAUUUUACCUUUCCCAUAUGUCCGCACCUGUAUCUGACCUUUCAGCUUCCACAGUGUCUUGUAAAGGUAUGCAUAUUUGAACGUUUUGAGAAUUUUUCACAUUGUAACUACAAACCUCUUUGUAUUUUAUAGGGACUUAAUGUGAUGGAGACAUAAGAAAAUGAAAGAAAAUUAUUGUUUUGUUUAGAUUUUUUUCAGAAAUAAAAAUCUGAAAAACCAAAGUCAAUACAAGUCUUUGAGGUUCUGCUUAUGGCCUCUUUGCCCAUGUGGAAGAUGAAAUUUUAACCAUUCUGUGUAAAAUACCUCAAUCUCUGUCAGACAGGGUUGAAAGAUUUUGGGGAUUUCAAUUUUCAAGUUUUUCCAGUGAGCCUCAUUUGAGAUUGAACGCGCACUUUGACUGAGCCAUUGUAGCACGCAUAUGUUGUGAUCUCAACCAUUUCCAUAUAAAUCUGGCUUUAUGUUUAGAGCAAUUUAGAGCAACACAUUUUCUUCUCAGAGUCCAAUGAUUUGUAAAUUUGCCCAAAAGUUUCUUUUUCUUUGCUUUUGACCAGUCAUCAUCUUCAAAAUGCUUGAUUUGCCCACUACACAGUUUAUUUGCAAAUUGCAACAUCAAUUUCUUCUUGAACAGACGAGCUAAUAGUUCACCUUCAGCUUUUUCAAAGGUACAUUGUUUUGGCUGUUUGUCCUAUUAAUGAUCUUCUUGAAACAUCUAUCUGUUUAGGUGAGGCCUUUACAAAAUAGGUGCAGUCAUUAAAAUGAAAGAUUAAGUACAGGUGGAUGUUAUUUGCAUCUGAGGACAAUUAUUUGCAAUGUAUUAAAUUUAAAAUUAUUUGAGUUAAGUGGAAUAUUGCUGUGGCUGAUGCUACUUUGUUUUGGUCUAUCACAUAAAAUCCUGGUUAAAUGCCUUGAGACUUGUUGUAAUCUGCCAAAACCAAAAAAAGUUAAUUGAUUAGUGUAUAUAAUUUUGCAAUGUUCCUUUGUAUGUUCCUUUCCUGCUUGGCCAUCCUGUACAUACAGCCUAGUUUGUUUGCAAAUAUAUGAAACAUUUUAUGUCUCUCACUCAAAAUCAUUAGGAUUGCAAUGAAGAAAAAUUGCCUGCUCUAUUCAUUUAUACAUCAUGAGUAAUAGAAGCCUAAGUUGCUUUGACAGUGUAAUCGCUACUGAAGAGUCAUGGGGCCUUGAGGCAAAGAUAAUGUACAUAAACCACAUUUGUGCAUGCAGUCUUGUAAGACUGGCAAGUAAGUGUGUGUUUAUAUGUUUUUGUCUUUCGCUUUGGAUGAAAGAUGAAGACAGCAGGACAUUUGUAUUCACUUGCAAUGUCAACAACCCACAGUCUCAAUCUGUUACUAUUCAGCAUGAGAUGUGAGAAGUGUACACUGUGAAUAUGUUUUAAAUAAAGGGCAGAAUGCAAUAGCUUGGUCUGGGUAGCUUAGCUUGGAUAACCUUUUGAGUUGUUACAGUAUGAAGAUUAAAACAGGACCUCUUGAUGAUAUGACCUUAUUCGUUAACUCUCUCCUAUGUUGAAAACCCUUUCUGUCUGCCCUUCUUCCCUCGAAAUCCUUUAUCCAACACCUCUCCACCUUUCUUGCACUCCUCCUCCUCCGACUCUCCUGCCAAAUGAAGUAUAUUUAUGGCACCUGUGCUGGAAAAACAGUCUCCAGGAGACGUCCCUCUAAUUUCAUUUUCAAAAUGCCAGCAAUAAAUUUAUCAAAUGGGCUGAAUCGAAUCGGAGUCACACGCAGUGCCAUCCGUCAUGGACUGUCCCUCGGGGCCCUGUGGGCGUACUUAAGCCAGCCAAAAAUCUCUGCUGGCAGAAGAAAAAAAACCCUGAUUGUUGAGAAGGAGAAGGGGGUGUGGAGUGGGUGUGUGAGAGCUGGGUGAUGGGGGUCUUGGAGGAGAAACCAGAUGAAUGGACUGGAGAAAAAAGUGAUAAAAACAAGGGCUUGUAUGCAUAUCUUUAUUGGCUUAUAUCCACAUAUGCAGUAUAAAUUAGCCGUCAGACGAGUGAGGAUGGGCAUGUGUGCACAGAGGUCAGUACAAAUUCUUGAAUGCAUUUCAAAAAGCCAAAGUGCUCAGAUAAGCACUUUGGCUUUCGUGGUGCUGGCAUAACAAUUGAUUUAUUGCAACCCAAUUUAAUUGAUUGUUUUGCUCAAUUUUGCGUCAUUAAAACAUUUCCAGUUUGUUCUUCAAUCCCGCCGCAGUUUUCCAGAACCACAGGUUCACUUGCUCUUUGCUCUCAAAUUCCCUUCCCUUUUCUCCCUGACUCUUCCUCAUGAUCUUUGCUUUCUCUUUUAAUGCUUGCAAACCAGAUUUCUUUUGUUUCACAUCUCCUUCUCUUUGUCUUUCAUUUGUUUUCCUCUCCCCUUCCAUUUAUCACACUGCAGGUUAAACCAGGCGUGAGCACGGGUAAAGUAGCUUAGCACUAACAGUUCUAAUGAAGUCAGGCCCCGUUUUCCUUGAAUGGGGAUCAGUGGAGCUAUUCCGUGAAGCCUGUCAGCAUUUAAUGAUUAGAUGAAACAUUCAGACGCCUGCUAUGAGAAAUUCAGGCACACUGAUAAAUGGUAAUUCCCAAGUGGAGGUCUUUCUUACAUAGAUCUGCAAAACAUUUAUGCAUGCUCACACUUUCUCCUCUGACACAUACACAUGAGCACCGCCACAUGCAUUUUCUGUCCUCCCACUUUGGACAGAUCUAGAUUUAUGAGUUAAACAUGGCGUGGAGGGUAUUAUCAGCAGACUGAUUGGAAGACAAAACAAAUGGCGGAGUGAUUCAGAGAUUGAGCAGUUUGAGCCAUUGAUUCCUGCACAGCAAAUUCAAAAGUGUUAAAUGUUUUGGUGUUAGUAGACUUUAUGCAAAAGCCGAGUUAAUUUUACCCUAAUAGAGUCAUAUACCAUUUAUGUAACUCUGGGAUGUAUAUUAUUAGUAGUUAAAUUCCAAUGUUAAAACAAAGUGUUUCCGUAUCAAAUCUAGAGAUGUUAAAGUGGAAUCAGUAACUCUUGACUUCCUAACUCUGAACUCCUACAGCGACUAUAACACUAGAGGAGUUAAUUCACUGACUCCGCCCCCAGAAUCACAAGUUCCCACCAAAGCGAAGCGACAGAAGUCAAGUCAUUCCAGGACAAUUUACUUUCCACAUGUCUGAGUUAUUCACUGCGCUUGGUAAGUAAUUUUUUUCUGAGAUGGUUUCUAACUAUUAUUUUGAGUUGAGAUCAAGCUGUAUGAUAGACAUCACGUUCGCCACAUGGCUCGGUGUUAACAUAUUUAGCUUAGCAUGCCGAAUGUUUGCGGAGUAUAAGUGUUGGGAAACAAUUUUGUCAGUGAACAUACAGUCAAAUUGUUGGCUAAUGAACAGAUCCGUAAUAAUCUGGAGUAUGUUUUUUCAUGAUGUUGAAUGUUUACAUAAAUACUGGUCAGAUUUAUCAACCUUUCUGAUAUUUUUUUUUCCUUUGAAAAACUGUAAAAUGCUUUCUCAUGUUGAAAGCAUUAUUCCUUCUGUUGUGUCUUAUUAUAUACAUUUUGCAGCAUGUUUUAAUCCUUUUAUUGCCUUUUUCUAUGUAUUAGUACCAGUAUGGUUGCGAAUGAAUCGCCAGUUGUCAGCAAUAACCUCACCCUCCCGAAUCUUCCAUGGAUUCUUCCAAGAUUCAAGCUCCAAAAGUGAUUAUAGACCAACACUGGCUAUCGUACUCGGAGACUGAAGACUGUCCAAUGCAGUAGAGGAGCACGGUGAUGUCCCCGGCCAAACUUCACCAACGGCCCAACAACCCGAAGACAAUCUGUGUUAGUGAGUGGACAGCUUUUUGGGGGAGUGCAGAGAGGCCCAGUCUCUUAUCAACAGAAACAUAAACUGGGUAAGAAGUGAUGGAUCUGAAUAUCAG